UAUACCAGGAUGUCAGCAUAGUU
RNAcentral lists this non-coding RNA (23 nucleotides) under Cricetulus griseus (Chinese hamster). Lineage: Eukaryota; Metazoa; Chordata; Mammalia; Rodentia; Cricetidae. RNAcentral also lists the same sequence under 2 other names. The record is from miRBase by way of RNAcentral.